UAUAUACUCCCUCCGUUCGGAAUUACUUGUCGUAGAAAUGGAUGUAUCUAGAUGUAUUUUAGUUCUAGAUACAUCCAUUUUCGAGACAAGUAAUUCCGAACGGGGGGAGUAUCUC
Non-coding RNA from Triticum aestivum (bread wheat), 115 nucleotides. The record is from Rfam. NCBI's taxonomy places the organism in Eukaryota, Viridiplantae, Streptophyta, Magnoliopsida, Poales, Poaceae.